Molecule: ribosomal RNA, 1490 nt
Filed under: metagenome
Description: bacterial SSU rRNA
Rfam family: Bacterial small subunit ribosomal RNA
Source: RNAcentral
AGAGUUUGAUCCUGGCUCAGAUUGAACGCUGGCGGCAUGCCUUACACAUGCAAGUCGAACGGUAGCACGAGAGCUUGCUCUUGGUGGCGAGUGGCGAACGGGUGAGUAAUAUAUCGGAACGUACCCUAGAGUGGGGGAUAACGUAGCGAAAGUUACGCUAAUACCGCAUACGAUCUACGGAUGAAAGUGGGGGAUCGCAAGACCUCAUGCUCAUGGAGCGGCCGAUAUCUGAUUAGCUAGUUGGUGGGGUAAAAGCUCACCAAGGCGACGAUCAGUAGCUGGUCUGAGAGGACGACCAGCCACACUGGAACUGAGACACGGUCCAGACUCCUACGGGAGGCAGCAGUGGGGAAUUUUGGACAAUGGGCGCAAGCCUGAUCCAGCAAUGCCGCGUGAGUGAAGAAGGCCUUCGGGUUGUAAAGCUCUUUUGUCAGGGAAGAAACGGUGGACUCUAAUACAGAUCACUAAUGACGGUACCUGAAGAAUAAGCACCGGCUAACUACGUGCCAGCAGCCGCGGUAAUACGUAGGGUGCAAGCGUUAAUCGGAAUUACUGGGCGUAAAGCGUGCGCAGGCGGUUGUGCAAGACAGAUGUGAAAUCCCCGGGCUCAACCUGGGAAUUGCAUUUGUGACUGCACGGCUAGAGUGUGUCAGAGGGGGGUAGAAUUCCACGUGUAGCAGUGAAAUGCGUAGAGAUGUGGAGGAAUACCGAUGGCGAAGGCAGCCCCCUGGGAUAACACUGACGCUCAUGCACGAAAGCGUGGGGAGCAAACAGGAUUAGAUACCCUGGUAGUCCACGCCCUAAACGAUGUCUACUAGUUGUCGGGUCUUAAUUGACUUGGUAACGCAGCUAACGCGUGAAGUAGACCGCCUGGGGAGUACGGUCGCAAGAUUAAAACUCAAAGGAAUUGACGGGGACCCGCACAAGCGGUGGAUGAUGUGGAUUAAUUCGAUGCAACGCGAAAAACCUUACCUACCCUUGACAUGUCUGGAAUCCUUGAGAGAUCAGGGAGUGCUCGAAAGAGAAUCAGAACACAGGUGCUGCAUGGCUGUCGUCAGCUCGUGUCGUGAGAUGUUGGGUUAAGUCCCGCAACGAGCGCAACCCUUGUCAUUAGUUGCUACGAAAGGGCACUCUAAUGAGACUGCCGGUGACAAACCGGAGGAAGGUGGGGAUGACGUCAAGUCCUCAUGGCCCUUAUGGGUAGGGCUUCACACGUCAUACAAUGGUACAUACAGAGGGCCGCCAACCCGCGAGGGGGAGCUAAUCCCAGAAAGUGUAUCGUAGUCCGGAUUGUAGUCUGCAACUCGACUACAUGAAGUUGGAAUCGCUAGUAAUCGCGGAUCAGCAUGUCGCGGUGAAUACGUUCCCGGGUCUUGUACACACCGCCCGUCGCACCAUGGGAGCGGGUUUCACCAGAAGUGGGUAGCCUAACCGCAAGGAGGGCGCUCACCACGGUGGGAUUCGUGACUGGGGUGAAGUCGUACAAGGUA